This 69-nucleotide transfer RNA is filed under the name Capra hircus (goat). It matches the Rfam family "tRNA". From Rfam's summary of the family: Transfer RNA (tRNA) molecules are approximately 80 nucleotides in length. Their secondary structure includes four short double-helical elements and three loops (D, anti-codon, and T loops). Further hydrogen bonds mediate the characteristic L-shaped molecular structure. tRNAs have two regions of fundamental functional importance: the anti-codon, which is responsible for specific mRNA codon recognition, and the 3' end, to which the tRNAs corresponding amino acid is attached (by aminoacyl-tRNA synthetases). tRNAs cope with the degeneracy of the genetic code in two manners: having more than one tRNA (with a specific anti-codon) for a particular amino acid; and 'wobble' base-pairing, i.e. permitting non-standard base-pairing at the 3rd anti-codon position. Lineage: Eukaryota; Metazoa; Chordata; Mammalia; Artiodactyla; Bovidae. The record is from Rfam by way of RNAcentral. RNAcentral also lists the same sequence under 1 other name.
CCUGGCGGCUCAGAGGUUAAAGCGUCUGCCUCCAAUGCAGGAGACCCAGGUUCAAUCCCUGGGUCAGGA